This 304-nucleotide ribosomal RNA is filed under the name uncultured bacterium. Its description in RNAcentral is "partial 16S ribosomal RNA". It matches the Rfam family "Bacterial small subunit ribosomal RNA", at positions 506 to 809 of the family's 1533-position model. The record is from RNAcentral.
CAGCAGCCGCCGCGGGAAUACGUAGGGUGCAAGCGUUAAUCGGAAUUACUGGGCGUAAAGCGUGCAUAGGCGGUUUGUUAAGUCUGUUGUGAAAUCCCCGGGCUCAACCUGGGAAUGGCAAUGGAUACUGGCAAGCUAGAGUGUGUCAGAGGAUGGUGGAAUUCCCGGUGUAGCGGUGAAAUGCGUAGAGAUCGGGAGGAACAUCAGUGGCGAAGGCGGCCAUCUGGGACAACACUGACGCUGAAGCACGAGAGCGUGGGGAGCAAACAGGAUUAGAUACCCCGGUAGUCCCUGUCUCUUAUAA